RNAcentral lists this ribosomal RNA (252 nucleotides) under uncultured bacterium. Its description in RNAcentral is "partial 16S ribosomal RNA". It matches the Rfam family "Bacterial small subunit ribosomal RNA", at positions 524 to 776 of the family's 1533-position model. The record is from RNAcentral.
UACGUAGGUGGCGAGCGUUAUCCGGAAUGAUUGGGCGUAAAGGGUGCGUAGGCGGGCUUUUAAGACAGCGGUAAAAAUUCGGGGCUCAACCCCGUCCGGCCGUUGAAACUGGGGGCCUUGAGUGGGCGAGAAGAAGGCGGAAUGCGUGGUGUAGCGGUGAAAUGCAUAGAUAUCACGCAGAACCCCGAUUGCGAAGGCAGCCUUCCGGCGCCCUACUGACGCUGAGGCACGAAAGUGCGGGGAUCGAACAGG